RNAcentral lists this ribosomal RNA (90 nucleotides) under uncultured archaeon. RNAcentral describes it as "partial 16S ribosomal RNA". It matches the Rfam family "Archaeal small subunit ribosomal RNA", at positions 321 to 411 of the family's 1478-position model. The record is from RNAcentral.
CCCUACGGGGCGCAGCAGGCGCGAAAACUUCACACUGUGCGAAAGCGCGAUGAGGGAAUCCCAAGUGUUUGCUCGUAAGAGUAAACUGUU